GCAAUGGUGCAUGGGGGCUUGUCUUCACACAUAAAAUAUUUCAGGGCUGUGACUCAUCGGCGUUCAUUUCAGCCGUCCCCCAGCCUCUAUUAGGAGCUAUUUAUGGAUCCAAUUAUUUGUAGAUGUGUUUAGUGGCCUUUCAAAGGCACAUGGGAAAAAAUAUGCAUCAUCUGACAGUGUAGUCACAGGCUGAUUCAUUUUCUGUCUGGCAUUUCUCCCAAACCUUGAGCUCAGCAGAAACAGCAGAUGAUAUUUAUCUUCAGAUCAUCAAUAAAUGCUCUGUUGUGUCAUCAAUGCUGGUGACCCAUUGCUGCAGUGAACAUAUAAGACGGUCAAGAUAUCUGCAGAUUUUUUUGCUUCAAACACCAGGUUUUCUACGGUUAGAGGAAAUGUGUUAGAUUUAUUUUGUUUUAAAUCAUAGUUUGUCAAAUCUGAUACAUUUGUCUACCUAAAACCCCACUGCAAGCCUCCAGCUUUCUCUACAAUGGUGUAUUCUGCUGAAAAGAAAUCUGGUGCACUGGCUCUGGAUAUCAGCAAACAUCACAUAAUGCCACAUAGUGUAGAAAGCAAUAUUGGACACCGCUUGUUUCUACACAGAACAUGUGUAGUGCGACAUGGCAAUGGUUGUAAAAAAACGUGUAUUUGCUGUAACAACUCGAC
This is a long non-coding RNA of Sinocyclocheilus grahami, 660 nucleotides long. RefSeq lists it as uncharacterized. The record is from RefSeq and is a predicted model, not a curated record. The transcript is spliced from 3 exons. Lineage: Eukaryota; Metazoa; Chordata; Actinopteri; Cypriniformes; Cyprinidae.